CAGCAGCCGCGGUAAUACAGAGGGUGCGAGCGUUAAUCGGAUUUACUGGGCGUAAAGCGUGCGUAGGCGGCUUUUUAAGUCGGAUGUGAAAUCCCUGAGCUUAACUUAGGAAUUGCAUUCGAUACUGGGAAGCUAGAGUAUGGGAGAGGAUGGUAGAAUUCCAGGUGUAGCGGUGAAAUGCGUAGAGAUCUGGAGGAAUACCGAUGGCGAAGGCAGCCAUCUGGCCUAAUACUGACGCUGAGGUACAAAAGCAUGGGGAGCAAACAGGAUUAGAUACCCCCGUAGUCCCUGUCUCUUAUAA
RNAcentral lists this ribosomal RNA (301 nucleotides) under uncultured bacterium. RNAcentral describes it as "partial 16S ribosomal RNA". It matches the Rfam family "Bacterial small subunit ribosomal RNA", at positions 509 to 809 of the family's 1533-position model. The record is from RNAcentral.